AGCUCCAUAGCUCAGUGGGAGAGCGUUCCGUUCACACCGGAAAGGUCGCUGGUUCAAUCCCAGCUGGAGCUA
This 72-nucleotide transfer RNA is filed under the name Corynebacterium sphenisci. RNAcentral's name for it is "tRNA-Val". It matches the Rfam family "tRNA". From Rfam's summary of the family: Transfer RNA (tRNA) molecules are approximately 80 nucleotides in length. Their secondary structure includes four short double-helical elements and three loops (D, anti-codon, and T loops). Further hydrogen bonds mediate the characteristic L-shaped molecular structure. tRNAs have two regions of fundamental functional importance: the anti-codon, which is responsible for specific mRNA codon recognition, and the 3' end, to which the tRNAs corresponding amino acid is attached (by aminoacyl-tRNA synthetases). tRNAs cope with the degeneracy of the genetic code in two manners: having more than one tRNA (with a specific anti-codon) for a particular amino acid; and 'wobble' base-pairing, i.e. permitting non-standard base-pairing at the 3rd anti-codon position. The record is from RNAcentral. RNAcentral also lists the same sequence under 1 other name. Lineage: Bacteria; Bacillati; Actinomycetota; Actinomycetes; Mycobacteriales; Corynebacteriaceae.